AGUCGAGGGGUAUAAGGAGCUUGCUCCUUAGAGACCGGCGCACGGGUGCGUAACGCGUAUGCAAUCUACCUUUCACAGAGGGAUAGCCCAGAGAAAUUUGGAUUAAUACCUCAUAGUAUAUAUGGAUGGCAUCAUUUGUAUAUUAAAGUCACAACGGUGAAAGAUGAGCAUGCGUCCCAUUAGCUAGUUGGUAAGGUAACGGCUUACCAAGGCGACGAUAGGUAGGGGUCCUGAGAGGGAGAUCCCCCACACUGGUACUGAGACACGGACCAGACUCCUACGGGAGGCAGCAGUGAGGAAUAUUGGUCAAUGGGCGCAAGCCUGAACCAGCCAUGCCGCGUGCAGGAUGAAGCAUCUAUGGUGUGUAAACUGCUUUUGUACGGGAAGAAACAGAGGUUCGUGAACCUCCUUGACGGUACCGUAAGAAUAAGGAUCGGCUAACUCCGUGCCAGCAGCCGCGGUAAUACGGAGGAUCCAAGCGUUAUCCGGAAUCAUUGGGUUUAAAGGGUCCGUAGGCGGUUUGGUAAGUCAGUGGUGAAAGCCCAUCGCUCAACGGUGGAACGGCCAUUGAUACUGCCAGACUUGAAUUACUAGGAAGUAA
Molecule: ribosomal RNA, 601 nt
Filed under: uncultured Bacteroidota bacterium
Lineage: Bacteria; Pseudomonadati; Bacteroidota
Description: bacterial SSU rRNA
Rfam family: Bacterial small subunit ribosomal RNA
Source: RNAcentral